Molecule: non-coding RNA, 9260 nt
Organism: Oryctolagus cuniculus (rabbit)
Lineage: Eukaryota; Metazoa; Chordata; Mammalia; Lagomorpha; Leporidae
Source: RefSeq, a predicted model, not a curated record
CUGAGGAAACUCCUGUUCAGGGAAAAACAAGAAAACCAAUCUAGGAGUGUCUAAUGGCUUCGUUUUAUUGCUCACUUCUUUCUCCUAUACUUAUUUUUAAUAGUUUCUUUGGAAAAUGAAUGUUGAUUAGAUUUAGGGCACCAUGAGAUAUUUUCCAUGGUCCGGAGCAACCACGGGGUUCCAUUUGGGGUACAUUUUCCUUUUGUUCAGCCAGUGGUUACUGCAGACUCCGUUUGUGGCUCCUCCAGGCAGGAGCCGAAGGGUCCCCCAAAGAGUAUUGCCUCCACGUCUGAACACUUCCCUCCUCCGAAGUUCACCACGGGCGUCACGAAGGAUCCAUCCACAGUCACUUUCUGACAGAUCAGCACUGGCUUGAUCCCAGAGGAUGGGAGACCCAGCAAGACGGGGCUGGCAGGGGCCCACCCUGGCUGGCCUGAAGCCCUUGACCGCGUCAACACAAUCCGAAAGACCUGGGCAGCUGAAAGCAGAGCUGAGGAGGUCUACCAGAGGAAUUCCAGCUCCGGUGCCGGCGUUGUGCUGCAGCUUCAACACUGGCACUCCGUACCUGAGAGCUGCUCUGCUUCCCAUCAAGCUUCCUGAUAACGCACCUGGAAGCAGCAGAAGAUGGCCCAAGUACUUGGGCCCCUACCACCCAAAGAAAAGACCCGGCUGGAGUUCAUGGCUCCUGGCUUCAGCACAGGCCAGCUUAGACUGUUGCAGCCAUUUGCUAUUUGGGUAGUGAAACAGCCUCUGACAACAGCUCUGAGAGGCACUGAUGGGACCCUGGACUGUGGAUGCAGCAGGACACGGGUUCUCUUCGGCCUCGGGGGACCUGCGUGGUGUGUUGGGGACCCGCCCAGACUCAGUGCCCAGACUCCUCAAGGCCUGCCUACCUGGAGGGGGGAGGAAGGCAAGGAGGUGGGGCAGGAUGGAUUGGACGAGCCUUAGCGGCUGCCUGGAGGCCCAGCUGUCUGGGCACACAGGAACGUGCAGGGUGCAUGCGGGGGCCCUGCUCCCUGUCAGUCACAGCUGCAAGGAGGCAGCAGGGGAAGGUGGUGGCUGCACAGGCAUCCAGGGGGAGGCUGACAGGAAGAGGGGUCGCUUGUAACAUAGCAGGCCACCGGCUGAGACCUGCUGAGGGAUGUGCAUUACUCAGAGGGUGGGUCCGGUUCUCAUUUUAGACCCAAAAUAAACUCUCCAGGCCCUGUUGUAGUUGGCUAAUGGCAAUCCCCAAACCACAGGCUCCAGAGAUAUGAGCCAGCAUUCCAGGAGACGCCACCCACAGGACACGGAGACCCGGGGAGGGAGCCCGGCCCUGGGUCCGGCGUGUUUGGGGCAGACUGCGGGAGACACAGCGUCACCGCGGCCUCAGCCUGGGUUCCGUGCGGAGACCUCCUGCAGAACCCGGUCGUGUCCACGGAUGCCCUCACGGGCCUCGGGCGGAGCUCGCCCUCCCCAAGUCAACACGAGAGGGCCCAGGGAGCUACGGGUCAUUGGAAGCUCUUCUUUCUGCCUUUUUCAAGCUCAGGAAGACCAGCACACCACUUAGGAGGCUGGUUUGGACAGUUCUCCAAAUCCCUGGUCAGAUUACUAUCUUUCAGCUAAAACACAGGGUUAGUGGAAUUUUCUUCCAAACUUCUUUUCAAACAAUUAUCUUGACAUAUUAUCUGUAACAUUUCCUUUAGAGAGUUCCUCCCCAUCAGGGGAGAAAAAGUUCGCCAGGGCCUGUGAAUGACUGGAUGGAGGAGAAAGAUGUGUGAGGAUGUGAGACUCGGAGCAGGAGCUAUGCGUAGGGACGCCACGGCAAUGAGAGACAGCGCUGGGGAAUAACCUAGGUCUGGGCGCCUUUGCCACCUGUGGAGUCUGCAGGGGAUCUUGACAAACCACCCGGCCAGCCCCCGGCCCUGAGUUAAUACUGUCCUUGAAUCUGCCUGCGGGCCUUGAACAACACACAGAGAAUUCAUGUUUGUAUGCAGUGGUGCACCCCUCCCCCCAUAGCUCGCUGCAAGUGGGAGGUGAGUUUCCCAUUUGCUGGGGGUGUGGAACUUAGAGACCCAGGGACAAGGGACUCAGGAAUGGGGAAAGGGGACCCCACACUGGCAAGCCGGGGCAGCAGUCUCUAAAGCGAGAGGGUUUCAUGAGGGCGACUGCCUUGGACAGGGAUGAUCCCAAUGCUGGCGGAGGUGCGGCGGAGGGAGGAGGCGGCGUGGAGCUAACGGUGCAGACCCGGGAGGCAGGGGCGGGGCUCUGCGUGGUGCCACGCGCUUUCCCAUCUGAGCAUCCGCAUCUGCCUCUUCCACCCACGGCCCGGGCUCCUGCAGUCACUCCGUUCCCCACCCGUCUCUGAGAACGGUCCUUCUCUGAUGCUACUUCAAAGCCCCCUGGGAACGCCAAGUUGCCAAUUAAGCCUCUUUGAGGCAGGUUCUCAUUCCUUCCCCACUAAUUGAAAUGUUACUCCUUUUACUAAACCCAUGAACCACCCAGACACAACGGUCUUCCUCAUUUGCAUUGUAACAAUGUCCCUAAUGUGCUGCCAAGAGCUUUCCGAGGAGGGGGACCUCUUCUCCUCCCCCGGCUGCACGGUCAAAAGCAAUUCCCAGCCCAAGGCCGGCUUUUCCAUCCCUGUCCAGCUGCUCAUUAGCUAAGGUGGAAUAAAUUCCUUUUAUUCUGGAUUCAUUUCCCAGGAUGAUAAUGUCUUUUUUGUCUCAGGCCACUGUUCUCAAACUAGGCCUUAAUUGCUGAUACCGAUUGAGUUAAUGCAUAUUUACAGCGGGGGUUAGGUUAAAGAAGGUCUCCUGUACUUUCAUCUGAGACAUUUUGUUUAACCUGCAAUAAAAUCGUGCGGGAGUUAUUCAGUGUUGAUUCUCAUUGCGUUUUAUCUUGUCUCUGCCCCUUGGGAAAGUCCGCAGAGGCAGAUGGUCUUGGCAUGGGCACAGUUCCCGGGCUGCAGGGCCCACGGAGCCCAGCCUCAGCCGGUCACCUCCAAGCUCUCCUGUAUUCAGACGGGAGGGCCUCUCCUGGUGAGAGCAGAUAGCCCCCGGGCAACGGGCAACAGGCAACGCGCGCGGUGCCGCUCUCCCAGGCGCCCCGCCAAGCUCGCAGGCGGGAUGAUGAAAUCCCAUCAAAGCCGCAGGGCUGGGCCAGGCUCCCGAAUCAGCUCCCACCAGUAGCUCCAGCCCAAAGUGGCCCGCAGACCGGGCACAGAGCCCAGGUGUCAGGCCAUGUGACAGGCCUGGCCACUGGUGCCUGCUCAGAGACAGUGGCCGAAACCAGGGCAGGAGGAAGGGCCUGGGGCUGAGCACAAUGCCAGGGAAAGUCAGGGGGUUUCCAAGAUUUCCCUGGGGAGGCCUGUCGGCUGGCUCCUGGAUUCGGUCUUCUCAAACCCUCUUGCUCGCUCUACUUCUGCAAACAGCAGGGGAAGCAUAGAAGCCCUCUUCCCUGUGAAGUUUGAGGCUUCUUUAUCACUCGGAGGUGAAACUGACUUACCUAAAAGGAGAUUGGCUGGAGUCACCCUGUGGGGCUCCUUGCCCCUGGGUGCUGCUCCUGGGUGCUGGGAGCUCUCACCCUCUCUCUCGCCUGUCCCUUUGGCUACUUCUUUCUGAGCUGUCCCGGGGGAGUUGGCCCUGAAAAGGAGACCAGACUGACAGUCCCCAAGAAUCCAUGUUUUAAGCCUCUGUUCUCCAUAGAGGAGGCCGUGAGCCAGUUUUCCAGCCGAUGGAGUUUGGGGACAAGUGACACAGGCCACCUCCGCCCUUCGCUCUGCUGGUGUCCUCGAGAGAGUGACCCUCUGGGCAACCUUGGUGCCCGUUGUGUCAGUGUGGAAUGCAUGGCAAUGGGCUUGUAAGUCUCGUGCACUUGGGGACCAGGUCUUGUAGCAGGGAACCUUGUUCACAGUCAGAUGCAUGCACGAUGCCAAGAAUCCGAGCUGCUGCCUUCACCUCGAUUCCUCAUCCACCGAGGCCUGUCUCAUCCAUCCCAGAAGAGCCCCAGCUCAGAUUCUAGCCUCCCUGUGCAGCCUUCCUGGGGGCAGAGGAAACGCACAUCUGGCUUCACCCAGUUGUUUUUCUUGGUUGCUUACCAAAGCCACCUUUGCCUACCUCCAGACAGAUUGAGCCAAGUGGAGACCUGGAACCUGGCCAAGUCAGUGAGACCCAGAAACCCAGCUGUCCGGCCCAAAGGCUCAAAAGCAAAGGUAGCUCCCCAGAGACAGGUUCCCUAGCUUCUUGUUUCUGAAAUCAGGCACAGGAGCGCUGGAUAAGGAGGAUAAACAUGAAGGUGCUUUCUGGAGCCAGUCUGCGUGUUGGAGGUGAUGGGCGCUUAGAGAGCACCUGCUCCAGCCCCCUCUUCCAGAGCAGAGCCUGCAGCCCAGAGCCUGCAGCACGCAGCACUCGGGCUUAGGGCCUCUCAGCCAGAGUGCCUCAAUUGCAUUCCUUAAGCCUGAAGACAGCAACAAGGCAGAGGACCUGCGCUGUUGUCAAGUAUCCCUUCGCAGCUCGUGGGAUAUGCUGAGAACGCGUCAUCCUUUAUAAUCCACCGUGACAGGCUCAGGCUCCGUGCACUGUUCAGCAUUCUCAGCUGGACCUAUGGCCUUGCUUCUCCAUGUGCGUUUCAGGUCAGACUGAGCAUGUUGGGAACCCCAGCAUCUCCUAGGUGGGCUGUGUUCCAUACCCAUCUGGACACAAGACUCUUGGGCCCGCGGUCUCCCGCAAGGAAUCCUGGCAGGCAGCACGGGCAGCGUCCCCAAACCACUCUGUCUCUUGGCAGGGUCCUUCCCUUUGUGGGGUGAGAAGAGCCCUGUGGGGAGGAAGUCCAUCUCCUUUUACAGAGAAGGGAGCUAAGGAUCAGGGAGGUUUGGGGGUUUGCCCAAGUCCUCACAAGAUGUGAUGCCUUUCUUCUCAAUCGCACUCCCUCGAGCUUCUCACUGAGGACUCGGCCAUCAUUAGAAUGAGAGAUUUCUCCAGGGCACAGUUCGGGGGUGCAUUUUUUGAUUUAAAACUCAAUCAGCUGCACUGUCUUGUAUGGUCUUCUGAGCGCAGGCUGCUUUCCCCGUGUCAACUGCGUGGAGCUGGAGGCAUGCUCGUCAAACUGUGAAUUCGACCCCCUGUGGGCUGGUCUUGGCUUUGACCGUGCACCUGCUCCCGGCAGUAGUGCUCCGGACUGCUGGAGCUGGCCCAAAGCCCACGUCUUCUGCCCCUCCGGCCCUCCUUUCAGGAAGCUGCAGGCGAGUCAGUGUCCUGGAUAUUGGCUCGGAUGGGUCUUCAACACCAUUAUCCUCCCCUGCUCAUUCCACUACUCGGGACCCCAAGCCCACAGCAAGCCCGUGGGAGGGCCUGGGUGUUUUGACUGCGGCAGGAAGUAUUUUAUAGGAGAACGCGGAUAUAGGAUACAGCUACAGCUCCAUUUGUGUCCCCACAAAGGCAAAGGGGAGCAAACAUCUUUGAGCACCAUAGCCUGGAGCAAGAAGGAGGCAGGUGCCUGCGUCCACUGAUCUCCUCUGGGGGCUAUAUUACAUUGCAGCCUGUCCAUACUCCAUUGGUGAAAUUGUCACCUUUUGGGAGGCGGAAGUCUGUUUUCCCCUGGGAUGGCUCUCUGGCCUUCUGAUGUAUCUCUGAUGCGGUGUCAGCAGGUCUCCUUCAGCUGAGUGAGUGUGUAUGUGGCAGUGGUAAGGGGGUGCACAUGUUGGGUGACAGUAGCCCAGACACUGGAGAUGGAGGAGAGAAGGGGGUUUGACAAGGUUGGAACUGGAAGCACCCACCUAUCACCAUUCUUUGGUAUUUAUUGCAUGUGUAGUAUGUAUACACACGUACUUUAUAAUUCACUAGGUUCUUUUCCUUUAGAUAGCUUUUUUGAAUCUUAAAAAAAAAUCUUUGGAAAGCAGAGAGCUGGAGAGAGAGAGCUAGUGUACUGGUAUUCUUGACAAUGUGCUUCUCAUUUUCACAGAUGAGAAAACUCGCAUCCCCAAAGACACCAGGAAAUAAGCCACUGCACCUUGAUUGUCCUGGUGAGGAUAUCCAUGCUCAGAGCAGGGACUUGUCUACGACUUCACAUUGUUAAGGGGCAGAAGCAAGACUUGAACUUGGCUCCAUUUGAGUCAAAGCCAAGUUUCUUCCCGCAACAUCCACACUGAUCCCUAAGCACAUAGAACUGUGAGCAGAACAGAGUGACUGCCCGGUGAAUAGCUUGAGAAAAAUGAGUCCGUAAAUCAAAGAGAGGCAUGAAGUCCAUAGCCUCUAAUCACAAAACUGUGACUCUAAGUCCAACCUGUGCAAAUGAAGUGGCAGGUACAGGAGAACCAAGGUACAACCCUCCCUCCCCCCAAGAGAGCAGCCAUCAGCUGGGAUUGGUGCUGGACCUGUGUCCCCACAGGGAGUGAACACAUAAUAAGGGCUGCGCUGGGUGUAAGUGACAGGGACGAAGCAGUUGAGGUGGCGACAGCACCUGGGCCACCCUGUUGCUUGUUCUGCUAGUUUGGUAAAAUGGUUUGCUGGGGGCCAUGGAUCCUCUUACAUUAUGUAUUAGAAUCUCCUGUGAUCUGGAAAUAAAACCAAAUCAAGUGUAGAAGACAAAGAUGCCACAGUAAUUGUGGCAGGGCCAUCUCCCCUGGGAGUGCAAAGCUGGGUCCAGGGUAACCACCUUCCCUCCCAAUGGCCUCAGGAAAGACACUGAGGCCCACGGGAGUGGGAGGCUGUCCCCUCAACGUUACCUCCAAAAUGAACAAGGGAUAAACUCUCUCCUGAGACAGUUGGUCUCAUUUUGCGGCCGUGAAUUCAAUGCUCAAGCUCCAUUCUCCUCAUCCCGGCUCCAGCUUAAGUUUUAAAAACUAAUUCUUUCUGCAUUAAUCUGAAAAGAUCCUCCCAACAAAAGCUCAACAUCUGAGCCUAUUUACCGAGUGUGCAGCUGUGUCAAUUGGCCAAGACAAAGCGAGGCUUCCUGGUCGGCCCACAAUGGGCGGCAGGUAGUCUUACAGACAGGGCAGGGGAGGAGGGGCUGGAGCUCAGGGGUCAAGAGAAGAGGCGUGCGCCCCACCCCCACCUCCCCAACUCACAAGUGGGACUGAAAGAUAUGAUCUGUAAGCCCAUCAAUUAGGGCUAUUAAAAAGGUAAUUAGCCCUCUCCCAUGGAAACCAAGGACAGAGAUGUGAAAGGGGGGAAAUUCAUUUCCUUGUGGCUACAUUUUAAUGUGACGGGUACCCUUUAGGAAAAAGCGAGGUGCUACUUAUGAGAAUGUCACUCGGCUGGUCUUAAUGGGAAGGUGGUGUCAAGUCAGCUACAGAACUGCCUUCUAAUAAAAAUAGUAACUAUUCUUUCAUUGUUGAAAAAAAAAAUUUUUUUUUCCUGCCACCAAACGUGAGAUUCAAAUCCCCUGGCCAGGCUGGGGAGGCCGGGAAGGCUGGAGAGUCAUUUCCUUUCCAGCUUCCUUUCCCGAAGAGCAUCGUGGCCGGAAAUGAAAUCUGCAAAUGUCAACAAUGAACCAUUUGUCUUGGGUCCUGGUAAGUGUGAAGCUCAGAAUCAGUGUUUCUCUUCCCUCUCUUUUCAAACAUCUGUGAGUAUUUUGGUAAUAAAGCCCAAGAGAGAACAACACGAAUAGAGGAGAGAUCCUAUUUGUAAUGAGAUUUGAAGAUAUCCAUUAACACAGAUCUACAGUGGGUGACACUGUGCAACCUGGCCCAGUGUCACGCGUGGAUAUAAUGUCUCAGGGCCUGCUUGCAUGGGUGUGGGUGUCUGCCUGAAAGUAAAGGACUGAACUUUGAAAAUAAUUUUUAAAAAUUAUUUUCAUUUUAUUUGUGAGCGAGAGAGCUUCCGUCUACUGGUUCACUUCACAAAUGCUACAACAGCUAGGGCUGGGCCAGGCUGAAGCCAGGAACCAGGAACUCCAUCUGGGUCUCCCACAUGGCGACAGGGACCCACCUACUUUAGCUUUCAUCUGCUGCCUCCCAAGGUGCAGUCACAGAAAGCCAGAAUUGGCGGAAGCAGAGGAGCCGGGACUCCAACCCGUACUCCGGGCACUCCAAGCAGGGACUUAACCAAUAUUUUAUAUUUGAGACACAGAGCUACAGAGAGAAAGUCUUCCAUCUGCUGAUUCACUCCCCAAAUGGCCAGAACUGACUUGAUCCAAAGCCAGGAGCCAGGGGUUUCUUCCAGGUCUCCCGUAUGGAUGCAGGGGCCCAAACACUUGGGCCAUCUUUCUGCUUUCUCAGGCUGUAGCAGAGAGCUGGAUCGGAAAUUUAGCAGCUGAGAUGUGAACCAGUGUCCAUAUGGGAUGCCAACAUUGCAUAUGGACGCUUAACUCACUGCUCCACAAUGCCAGCCCCUAGACAUUCUUGUGUAAGACUUUUUGUGGGCUUGUUUUUGUUUCUCUUAGGUAAUUGCUGAGGAGUGGAAUUGCUGACUCACACAUAGGUUAGGUGUGUAGAUAACUUUUUAAGAAACUGAUAAACAAUUUUCUACUGUAGCAUUAACACCUUGCUGACGCUUCCAACAGCAAUGCGUUGAGAAUGUUGCCAGUUGUACCUCCUUACAACCAUUUGAUGUCAGUCAUUUUAGCUGUAGCUCUUGUACUGGAAAUGAAGCAAUAAUCUUAGUGUGGUUUCAAUUUGUGAUUUUGGAUGAUUAACAAAGUUGAACACUUUUUCACAUACUUGUUAUCCAUUUUAUAUUUUCUUUCAUGAAGUUAUAGGCUUUUAUCCAUUUUUAAUUGGCUUAUCUUAUUAAUUUGUAGGUAUUUUUAUACAGCUUGGCUAAAAGUCUCUUCUAAUAUAUGCAUUGCAAAUAUUUUCUUUUGGUCUGUGGCUUUCACUCUCGUUUUCUUACUGGCAUUUUUGGAUGACAAAAGUUUAUUAUUUUAACAAAGUCAGAUUUUCAAAGUUUUUACUUCAUGGUUAGUGCUUUUUGUGUCCCACAGAAUUUGAAAUCUGCCUCUCCCAAGGUUGUGCAGACAUUUUCCUAUGCUUUCCCAUAGCAGCUCUGUCAUUUUAGCUUUGCUGAUUAAAUCUAUCAUUCAUCUCAAGUUCAUGUUUCAUAUAUGGUGUGAGGAAAGGAUUGAAGUUUAUUAUUUUUUUCCCAAACAUUUUGUCUAGUACUUCCAGCUCAUUUGAUGAAGACUUUUGAAUUGCUCUGAUCUGUAGCCUUUGUCAUGGAGCCGUUGACUGCACAUGUAUGUCUUUAUUUUUGAAUUCUGUAUUCCAUUUUGUGUCUAUCUUUAUGUCCAGAACUCAUUGCUGUGCUUGUUGUAUGUUUUUUUUUUAUGUAUUGAAAUCAGAU